RNAcentral lists this small nucleolar RNA (138 nucleotides) under Ornithorhynchus anatinus (platypus). The record is from RNAcentral. Lineage: Eukaryota; Metazoa; Chordata; Mammalia; Monotremata; Ornithorhynchidae.
CCCCUCUCAGGGUCGUACCUGGAGAGUUUCCAGUACUCUACCAGUCUCCAUUAUUGGAGGGAUAGUCAAGCAGAGGCCUACCCAUUCCAUUCCCAGCUUGGACAGUGGCUAGAGAGUGGAAAGCAAUCUGCUACAAAU